AGAGUUUGAUCAUGGCUCAGGAUGAACGCUAGCGGCAGGCCUAACACAUGCAAGUCGAGGGGUAACAUAGGAAAGCUUGCUUUUCUGAUGACGACCGGCGCACGGGUGCGUAACGCGUAUACAACCUACCUUUUAGCGGGGAAUAGCCCAGGGAAACUUGGAUUAAUGCCCCAUAGUAUGGAGAUCUCUCCUGAGAUUUUCAUUAAACAUUUAUGGCUAUUAGAUGGGUAUGCGUCCUAUUAGUUAGUUGGUAAGGUAACGGCUUACCAAGGCAGCGAUAGGUAGGGGUCCUGAGAGGGAGAUCCCCCACACUGGUACUGAGACACGGACCAGACUCCUACGGGAGGCAGCAGUGAGGAAUAUUGGACAAUGGGCGAGAGCCUGAUCCAGCCAUGCCGCGUGCAGGAAGACUGCCCUAUGGGUUGUAAACUGCUUUUACAGAGGAAGAACCACUCCCACGUGUGGGAGUUUGACGGUACUCUGCGAAUAAGGAUCGGCUAACUCCGUGCCAGCAGCCGCGGUAAUACGGAGGAUCCAAGCGUUAUCCGGAAUCAUUGGGUUUAAAGGGUCCGUAGGCGGGCAGUUAAGUCAGUGGUGAAAGUCUUCCGCUCAACGGGAGAACUGCCAUUGAUACUGAUUGUCUUGAGUUAUUAUGAAGUGGUUAGAAUGAGUAGUGUAGCGGUGAAAUGCAUAGAUAUUACUCAGAAUACCGAUUGCGAAGGCAGAUCACUAAUAAUAUACUGACGCUGAUGGACGAAAGCGUAGGUAGCGAACAGGAUUAGAUACCCUGGUAGUCUACGCCGUAAACGAUGGUUACUAGCUGUUCGGCCCGAUUAAGGGCUGAGUGGUUAAGCGAAAGUGAUAAGUAACCCACCUGGGGAGUACGUUCGCAAGAAUGAAACUCAAAGGAAUUGACGGGGGCCCGCACAAGCGGUGGAGCAUGUGGUUUAAUUCGAUGAUACGCGAGGAACCUUACCAGGGCUUAAAUGUAGUCUGACAGGCUGGAAACAGCUUUUUCUUCGGACAGAUUACAAGNGCUGCAUGGUUGUCGUCAGCUCGUGCCGUGAGGUGUCAGGUUAGUCCUAUACGAGCGCACCCCUGUGG
RNAcentral lists this ribosomal RNA (1104 nucleotides) under uncultured bacterium. Its description in RNAcentral is "bacterial SSU rRNA". It matches the Rfam family "Bacterial small subunit ribosomal RNA", at positions 8 to 1109 of the family's 1533-position model. The record is from RNAcentral.